CACGCUACAGAAAAACUGGGUUAGUUGAUCAAGCCCAUCAUUUUUGUAGAUGGGCCUCUUCCCACUAAGAUCCCUUGAAUUGAGAUGAAACUCAAAUUGAACACCACACAGGAGAAGAAUAAGCAAAAAUCACAGUGAGGAAGAUCCAAGAACAUAAUGCCCAUCAUUUAAAAGGGUUUCAAAUUUGCAUUACUGCAUUUUAAACGACAAUAUUGAAAAUGCUCUAUGAAAGCAAUUGAAUCUAAGCUUAUUCUUCAGCGACUGGUACCCAUUUUCCAGGACAUAGAGAAGUCUUUGCCUACAGGAAUAUCCAAACCCGAAACCUCUACAGCCACACUCUUCUUAAUAUCUCCAACUUGAACAUCCUCGUGAUACUUCUGUUCCAUUGAACUCAACCCUACCUUCGAAGCCCCAACAACAGGGUUUCCAUUAACCUCGAGUGCCGAUGGCUGCCCACUUCCAUCUAAUCCCAACACAGUCACCUUCUCAAUAAUCCAACCCUUCUGCAAAGCAAACUUACCCUCCUCAACUUUCGACCAAACCUUUACAGUUCCUUGAUUUGUAGUUGCAUACAAGUGAACAUAUGUUGAAUACCCAUUUCCAAGCUUCAUUUCUGGAAGCUCAUCAUUAUCAAGGUAAAGGCUUCCAUUGGCUGCUGCAUAACUAGCUCCUGCAGGGAAGGUCACUACAAGGCUAAAAGGCGUCAUUCUGGCUUGCUUAGAAAUCAGUCCACCCUGCUGCAUCGGUAGGAUACUAUUCUGAUACAAAUGCACAUUAACCACAUGCAAAGGUGCAUCGAGGGUGACGUAUUGUCCAUCUUUUGAUGUAAUGGUUUGUGUCAUAUCAAAUACGCUGUACCAACUACCUGGAGGAAAGAGGGCUUUAACCUGUGAUUUCCCUUGCUCAAGCACCGGAGACACCAUGAGACCACUUCCCAGCAAGAACUGAGUGCUCAACCCAUAACAUUCGGUGUAACUCGGGAAUGAGAAGAAAAGAGGUCUGGCAAUUGGGGCCCCACUCAUAUGAGCCUCAUAGUUCAAUGUGUACAGAUACGGAAGAAGCUUAUACCUCAUGCCAAGAGCAUUUCUAGCUGAUUCAGCUACCGACUCCCACUGAUAAAGCUCCUGCCUUGGAGAGUAAUAAUUGGCAUGAUCCCUUGAGAAGGGGUAGAAAGCACCAACUUCAAUCCAACGGUUGCAAAGCUCUUCUGUAGGUUGAGGAUAGAACCCACAUAUAUCUGCACCGACCAUUGGCACGCCAAAAAUACCAAAAUUUAACAUAGUAGAUAUGGAAUACCUCAGAUUCUCCCAAGUGCCCUGAUUAUCACCCGUCCAAUGAGCAGCAUAUUUGCCUGAUCCAACAUAUGUGGAGCGUGUCAAAAUAAACGGCCGCUUGCCCUCAAGCUCUUGCAGGGCCUUGUGAGUGGCAAUAGCUUGAGAGAAUCCAUACAGACUAUGGGCAUCAUACUCCAAAACACCAUUAUAGUGGACUGCACUGGUGGCUAUGGUUUUGUACCCUAUUGGAGCCUGUAUCCCUGAAGCAUUUAUCUUGUAAGGUGGAUCAUCCCACCUUGUCUUUGUUAUGUUCUUGCAAUCCAGGCAACAGACCCAACCAGGUCCAGUUCCAUUUGGACAUAUCCUGCCCUCUGGUAUUGUGCAAAGUCCAGAACAAAAGUUUGAAGCUUCAUUCAUGUCAAUCCAUAGGCCAUCAACAGGAACAAGUUCAUG
RNAcentral lists this unclassified non-coding RNA (1727 nucleotides) under Hevea brasiliensis (rubber tree). Lineage: Eukaryota; Viridiplantae; Streptophyta; Magnoliopsida; Malpighiales; Euphorbiaceae. The record is from RNAcentral.